CCCGGGUCUUGUACACACCGCCCGUCAAGCCACCUGAGUCGAGAGCACCCAAAGUCGUUUCUCUAACCCGCAAGGGAGGAAAACGCCCAAGGUGAGAUCGGUAAGGAGGGCU
RNAcentral lists this ribosomal RNA (112 nucleotides) under uncultured bacterium. RNAcentral's name for it is "partial 16S ribosomal RNA". It matches the Rfam family "Bacterial small subunit ribosomal RNA", at positions 1373 to 1482 of the family's 1533-position model. The record is from RNAcentral.